GCCUGGAUGGCGGAAUUGGUAGACGCGCGCGACUCAAACUCGCGUACUUCGGUGUGUGGGUUCGAUUCCCACUCUAGGUACUA
Molecule: transfer RNA, 83 nt
Filed under: Flavobacterium rivuli WB 3.3-2 = DSM 21788
Lineage: Bacteria; Pseudomonadati; Bacteroidota; Flavobacteriia; Flavobacteriales; Flavobacteriaceae
Description: tRNA-Leu
Rfam family: tRNA
About the family: Transfer RNA (tRNA) molecules are approximately 80 nucleotides in length. Their secondary structure includes four short double-helical elements and three loops (D, anti-codon, and T loops).
Source: RNAcentral